This 200-nucleotide ribosomal RNA is filed under the name uncultured bacterium. RNAcentral's name for it is "partial 16S ribosomal RNA". It matches the Rfam family "Bacterial small subunit ribosomal RNA", at positions 28 to 226 of the family's 1533-position model. The record is from RNAcentral.
GAUGAACGCUAGCGGCAGGCCUAAUACAUGCAAGUCGAGCGGGUGCUUUCAGCAAUGGAAGCACUAGUGGCGCACGGGUGCGUAACGCGUAUGCAGCCUACCUUUUACUGGGGGGAUAGGCCCUCCCGAAAGGGAGAUUAAUACCGCAUAACACAGGGGAGUGGCAUCACUUUACUGUUAAAACUCCGGUGGUAAAAGAU